This 603-nucleotide ribosomal RNA is filed under the name Verrucaria funckii. Its description in RNAcentral is "eukaryotic LSU rRNA". It matches the Rfam family "Eukaryotic large subunit ribosomal RNA", at positions 1 to 604 of the family's 3401-position model. The record is from RNAcentral. Lineage: Eukaryota; Fungi; Ascomycota; Eurotiomycetes; Verrucariales; Verrucariaceae.
UUGACCUCGGAUCAGGUAGGGAUACCCGCUGAACUUAAGCAUAUCAAUAAGCGGAGGAAAAGAAACCAACAGGGAUUGCCUCAGUAACGGCGAGUGAAGCGGCAACAGCUCAAAUUUGAAAUCUGGCUCCUUUGGGGGUCCGAGUUGUAAUUUGUAGAGGAUGCUUCGGGCAAGGCCGUGGUCUAAUUCGCUUGGAACAGCGAGUCACAGAGGGUGAGAAUCCCGUCUAGGAUCGUACGCCGCGUCCAUGUGAAGCUCCUUCGACGAGUCGAGUUGUUUGGGAAUGCAGCUCUAAGCGGGUGGUAAAUUUCAUCUAAAGCUAAAUAUUGGCCAGAGACCGAUAGCGCACAAGUAGAGUGAUCGAAAGAUGAAAAGCACUUUGAAAAGAGAGUUAAACAGUAUGUGAAAUUGUUGAAAGGGAAGCGCUUGCAAUCAGACUUGUGUCUGACGGUUCCCCUGGCCCUCGUGGCCGGGCUACUCCGUCAUGUCCAGGCCAACAUCGGUUUGGGUGGUCGGUCAAAGACCCCGAGAAUGUAUCUACCUUCGGGUCGACUUAUAGCCCGGGGUGGAAUGCGGCCCACCCGGACCGAGGAACGCGCUUCG